This is a non-coding RNA of Pogona vitticeps (central bearded dragon), 564 nucleotides long. NCBI's taxonomy places the organism in Eukaryota, Metazoa, Chordata, Lepidosauria, Squamata, Agamidae. The record is from RefSeq and is a predicted model, not a curated record.
GUGGAAACUGACCGGGAGAGUGUAACUGUCUCUCGGGACUGAAGGAUGCCUACAGAUGUUCCCUCAACAUAGAGUUCUGCAUCAGCGUCCCCACAUAUGGUGCAGGGAAGCAAUGUCCUUCAUUCAGGCUUCAAGGUCCCAGAAGGUUUGGCCCAGUGAGGUGAACUCAUUACUAUGAGGUGAACAUUGAGGGGGAAGUCAACAUGCAAGUGGCCACUCUGUAUUGAGGUGCAAUCUUCCACUGCCUCAGAAAAGCAUUCAGAUAUGAUUUGAAGAAAUUCUUAAUUAGCAUUUUGGUCCUCAUCCAAGAGGCAGCAUAUAUUUGCUACAACUGCUAAUAUAAAGCUGCUAACAUUUAGCUGCCAUGACUAGUAGCCACUGAUAGUCUCAUCCUCAAAACAUCUGAAUUGUCAAUAUAUAUAUAAUUUCUUGCCCACUUUAGCAAUCAUGUACCAAGCAAUUACUACAUCAGUUUUAGUCUAUUAAAUGGGAAGAUGUAUGUGAUGAUGUAACAAAAGGAACUUUGCUUUUCUGUUCAUGUCAGUCUCAGGACAAUUAAGUCAG